RNAcentral lists this ribosomal RNA (483 nucleotides) under uncultured bacterium. RNAcentral's name for it is "partial 16S ribosomal RNA". It matches the Rfam family "Bacterial small subunit ribosomal RNA", at positions 28 to 523 of the family's 1533-position model. The record is from RNAcentral.
GACGAACGCUGGCGGCGUGCUUAACACAUGCAAGUCGAACGAUGAAGCCGGAGCUUGCUCCGGUGGAUUAGUGGCGAACGGGUGAGUAACACGUUAGCAAUCUGCCCUUGACUCUGGGAUAACUUCGGGAAACUGUAGCUAAUACCGGAUACGACACCUUGGGGCAUCCCAGGGUGUGGAAAGAAUUUCGGUCAAGGAUGAGCUCGCGGCCGAUCAGCUAGUUGGUGAGGUAAUGGCUCACCAAGGCGACGGCGGGUAGCCGGCCUGAGAGGGUGACCGGCAACACUGGAACUGAGACACGGUCCAGACUCCUACGGGAGGCAGCGGUGGGGAAUAUUGCACAAUGGGCGAAAGCCUGAUGCAGCAACGCCGCGUGAGGGAUGAAGGCCUUCGGGUUGUAAACCUCUUUUAGCAGGGAAGAAGCGAAAGUGACGGUACCUGCAGAAAAAGCACCGGCUAACUACGUGCCAGCCGCCGCCGUAA